Molecule: microRNA precursor, 98 nt
Filed under: Equus caballus (horse)
Lineage: Eukaryota; Metazoa; Chordata; Mammalia; Perissodactyla; Equidae
Description: mir-544 microRNA precursor family
Rfam family: mir-544 microRNA precursor family
Source: Rfam by way of RNAcentral
AUCCCCUGGGGAUCUUGUCAAAAUGCAGAUUCUGAUCCAGUAGGUCUGGGGAGGGGCCCAAGACUCUGCAUUUUUAAUGAGCUCCCAGAGGAUGCUGA